CUUAACCAGCGUCUGCUCAGGGUGCCCAUCGUGGGGCUCAAACUCAUGAAACAUGAGAUCAAACACUCUACCGACUGAGCCCCCAGGCGUCAAGAGGGAGUGAAUCUUAAGCAGGGUCCACGCUCAUCAUGGAGUCCGACAGGCUAGAUCCUUUGACCCUGGGAUCACAACCUGAGCUGAAACCAAGAGUCAGAUGCUCAACUGACUGAGCCAUCCAGAUGCCCCCAUGGUUUUGGGUUUUAUGACAUCCUUAGAGUAGUUUUUUCCACACCAAGAUUAUACAAACACCCACCCAUAUUUUAUUCUAAUAUGUAUAUGGUUUUACUUUUGUUUAGUCCUUGAUCUGUCUAGAGUUUAUUCAUUUUGGGGGGGGGGCUUUCCCUUCAGUGCACCCAAAUGAGUGGGCAAUCAUCAUAUAAAACCAUCUUUUAUCAUUUAUUAAGGUCCCGUGUAUAUACAAUUGUAAGAUAUAGUAGAUACCAUGUGGCAAGCAAAAUAUCUUAGAACUCUUCAAGACUAAAAGGAAACAGCAAUGUGACCAUGGGUGUUAGUAUCAACAAGGAUGUUUAUACAUAGAAAAAGAUGCAGAGAGACGGGGGGAGGGUCCAAUGCACAGAUGACAUCAUAAAGAAUAGUAGAAUUCCAUUUGGAACUUCAGAGAACUUAGGAGAAAACUCUGACCAGCUGCUUCUGCACUCUGAACGCUGAAGCCUAAGUCACUGACUUCUUUGGAUCCCUUGGCACAAAGUCAAUUUUCAGAAAACCACAGGUCCUGGCUGAACAAGUUCAAGAAUUAUUUGGAGGAUCACAUCAAGAACUCCGUGCCUCCAGCAGCCGUUUUUGCUUUUCUGGUCAUCUCAGUCAUCAUGGGGAUCCUCUGUUGCCUCACGUAAGCUGCUGUGGGGUGAAGAGAGCGAAAGGGGCGUGGGGGAGAGGCAGGAACGGUCAGGUUCCCCACCAGCCUGCACAUUUAUAAUUCAGGGAAAGUUUUCAGGAAGGUAAUUCUUGGUUUAUCCAACCCACUCCAUCCAUUACCAGCGACUUACAGGUGACAUUGAAUACCCAGUGUUUAUAGCUGAUCUCUUUUUUCUAACUUCAUUAACUCCGUCUUUCCCUUUGGUUUAGGAAUUAUGCAUGGACAAUAUCUAAUUAACUAUGUGUUCAAUUGCCUGAAACUUUGCCACAGUAUUUACCUAUGUAAAUCAUAUGAAG
This 1212-nucleotide long non-coding RNA is filed under the name Suricata suricatta (meerkat). RNAcentral's name for it is "lncRNA (ENSSSUG00005012740.1)". The record is from RNAcentral. Lineage: Eukaryota; Metazoa; Chordata; Mammalia; Carnivora; Herpestidae.